UGUGUAGGCGGCUCCUUAAGUUUGGUGUGAAAUCUCCCGGCUCAACUGGGAGGGUGCGCCGAAUACUGAGGGGCUAGAGUGCGGGAGAGGAGAGUGGAAUUCCUGGUGUAGCGGUGAAAUGCGUAGAUAUCAGGAGGAACACCGGUGGUGUAGACGGCUCUCUGGACCGUAACUGACGCUGAGACACGAAAGCGUGGGUAGCAAACAGGAUUAGAUACCCUGGUAGUCCACGCCCUAAACGAUGCAUAUUUGGUGUGGGUCAUUCAGUUGAUCUGUGCCGGAGCUAACGCGUUAAAUAUGCCGCCUGGGGAGUACAGUCGCAAGGCUGAA
RNAcentral lists this ribosomal RNA (330 nucleotides) under uncultured bacterium. RNAcentral's name for it is "bacterial SSU rRNA". It matches the Rfam family "Bacterial small subunit ribosomal RNA", at positions 568 to 898 of the family's 1533-position model. The record is from RNAcentral.